CCUACGGGGGGCUGCAGUAAGGGAUAUUGGUCAAUGGGCGAAAGCCUGAACCAGCAACGCCGCGUGGAGGACGAAGGAUUUCGGUCUGUAAACUCCUUUUGACAGGGACGAGAAGGGACGGUACCUGUCGAAUCAGUCACGGCUAACUACGUGCCAGCAGCCGCGGUAAAACGUAGGUGGCGAGCGUUAUCCGGAUUUACUGGGCGUAAAGGGUGUGCAGGCGGGCUGUUAAGUGGUGCAUGAAAUCUCCUGGCUCAACCGGGAGGGGCUGUGCC
RNAcentral lists this ribosomal RNA (275 nucleotides) under uncultured bacterium. Its description in RNAcentral is "partial 16S ribosomal RNA". It matches the Rfam family "Bacterial small subunit ribosomal RNA", at positions 338 to 629 of the family's 1533-position model. The record is from RNAcentral.